RNAcentral lists this ribosomal RNA (500 nucleotides) under uncultured bacterium. Its description in RNAcentral is "partial 16S ribosomal RNA". It matches the Rfam family "Bacterial small subunit ribosomal RNA", at positions 30 to 523 of the family's 1533-position model. The record is from RNAcentral.
AUUGAACGCUGGCGGCAUGCUUUACACAUGCAAGUCGAACGGUAACAGGGUGCUUGCACCGCUGACGAGUGGCGAACGGGUGAGUAAUGCGUCGGAACGUGCCGAGUAGUGGGGGAUAACGCAGCGAAAGUUGCGCUAAUACCGCAUACGUACUGAGGUAGAAAGUGGGGGACCUUCGGGCCUCACGCUAUUCGAGCGGCCGACGUCUGAUUAGCUAGUAGGUGAGGUAAAGGCUCACCUAGGCGACGAUCAGUAGCGGGUCUGAGAGGAUGAUCCGCCACACUGGGACUGAGACACGGCCCGGACUCCUACGGGAGGCAGCAGUGGGGAAUUUUGGACAAUGGGCGAAAGACUGAUCCAGCCAUGCCGCGUGUCUGAAGAAGGCCUUCGGGUUGUAAAGGACUUUUGUCAGGGAGGAAAUCCCUAGUGCUAAUAACACUGGGGGAUGACAGUACCUGAAGAAUAAGCACCGGCUAACUACGUGCCAGCAGCCGCAGUAA